Molecule: long non-coding RNA, 21416 nt
Filed under: Homo sapiens (human)
Lineage: Eukaryota; Metazoa; Chordata; Mammalia; Primates; Hominidae
Description: HSALNT0141030
Source: RNAcentral
GUAAGGUGCAGUUUGGGCAGCAGCAAAUAUCUGGCUUGAAUCAUGGCUGGAUGUUUACUGUAUUAUUUAGAAGGAAAGCUGGAGCUGUGAUGAUUCCUAAAUAGAAUAAGACAGGCUGACACAGACAUGAAGACUGGCAAGUCAGAAUAAGCUCCUGGUGACCUUGAAUCUACUUUCUGCUGCUGAGAAUUUACCUAUUUUGGAUGCUUCAUGAGACGAUUCCUCUUAGCAAAAGGGCACUGUGUACCCUCCAAGGCUGGAAAUGAUAGGUUUUCGGCGAGGAGUGAAAAUAUUGUGCUGACAGCCCUUUGCCUGUGUAGAGCAGGGUUGUUUACUCGCGCUGGAGCACAGCUUUAUUGAAGCAGAGAGUCAUGGUCCCAUCAUCAGGGUUGCCUAGCAACCAGUCUACGCCACUCCACAGAGUUUCAGAAUGGGCUGGACCACAAGUACCCACUUUGGGGGAUUUCCAGUGACAGUCCUACUCUCACUCCAUCACAUCGCUUCUAAAAUCUGAGUCACAUGGUUCAAAUUUCACAGUACAAAGUGUGUUCUUCAGAUCUGGGGUUCUCUCCAAAAUGGAUAAUCAUUAUUGAUUUUGUAAUGCAAUGCCAAGACCAUCAGUAAGCCUGGACCCACGCCUUCAUCAAUCUACUGUCAGGGAUAGAUUGUGCAUUUUCUGUGUCCCAGUGGGUGCCCCCCCCCCAAAAUAGAGCAGACAAAGCCUGGCCUGCGAGGGUACUGGUUUAGUUCAACAAAUAUCCAUAGAAUGCCCACUUAGGCAAAAUGGCAUAGGGCAGAUUGCCAAAAUCAGGGUUGACUCGGCCUGGAGCCAUGAAGUGGGUCCAACAGGUCUCUGAACUGAGGCAGGAGGCCCCAGGAUCCCGAGGUGUGCUGUAAAGCCUUUGAUGACAGCAUCUUGUGCCUAACACCUGACCACAUCUGAGCCACUAGAGACAGUACCUGAUAAGGAUGCAGAUGCCUGGGCCCUACCUUCCAAAGUUCUGGCUCAGUAGGUCUGGGGGAAGACCAGUAAUCUUCAUUUUAACAAAGACCACUGACGGUUCUGAUGCAGGUGGUCCAAGGACCACACCUGGAGAAACUUCCACCUCUAGGAGCAUCUGGGGUAAAAACUUCACCCAAACUUCCUAAGGUCACAACAUAUCCCCCCCAACAGAGGAAGCAGUAACUUUUGGCCACAGCCCCUAGAGAGGGGAUUUGCCUGGCGUUUCUAUACUGUCCUCUGUCCAAGGACAAAGUGUGCCUUACCCCACAACUGCUUUGUGGUUAAAAGCUUCUAUUGAGGGAUAGUUUAUUUACUUCUAGCACUAUGAAGCAAUAUAGUGAGGUUUUUGUUUCCUUUGAAUCCCAGUCAUUUUAUGCUGCAGAAAAUCUAGAGUUUUUGCCACAGUGGAGGACUCUGCUUAAGGACUACCUAUCUGGGUCUGGUAAUAGCUACCCCAACCCAACGGUCCUGAACGAGUAAUAUGGUUCGACUGUUUCCCUCCCCACCUCCAAAUCUCAUCUUGAAUUGUAGUUCCCAUAAUCCCCACGUGUUGUGGGAGGGACCUGGUGGGAGGUAAUUGAAUCAUGGGGGCGGUUAGCCUCAUGUUGUUCUCCUGAUAGUGAGUUCUCACAAGAUCUGAUGGUUUUAUAAGGGGUUUUUCCUCCUUUUGCUUGGCACUUCUUGCUGCCACCAUGUGAAGAAGGACAUAUUUGCUUCCCCUUAUGCCAUGACUGUAAGUUUCCUGAGGCCUCCUGAGCCAUGUGGAACUGUGAGUCAAUUAAACCUCUUUCCUUUAGAGAUUACCCAGUCUCAGAUAUGUCUUUAUUAGCAGAGUGAGAAUGGGCUAAUACAAUGAGAUAGAACUUAAAUCCCCUGCAUGCUCAUCAGAGGAGGCUCCAUAGAAGAUCAUGGACCUUGAACAAGGUGCAAGUAAGCCUAGAUGCAAUGCAAUGGAUUAGGGAUUCCAGGCUUGAAAACCAGUGGGAAGGAAGGGGUCAGGUGGGAGUGGUCCUCAGUUCCUGUGUGGGCUCUGGCAUCAGGCAGCACACAGGAGUCUUCCCUGCUGGUGGGGAGAGAAAGAGGCAGUAGAAGGGGUCCCGAGCUGGAAGGAUCAGCAGCCACUGCAGACUACUGAUGGAGGCAGUGCCAGGGAGGAAGAGGGUCGUGCCUAGUGGUGUCCAGGCAUUGGCAUGCAGGAGGCAGUCCAGGCACUGGUACCCGGGAGAGUUAAAACUGGGGGAAGGGAAGACAGCAGGGGAUUCUCACAAGGAAUGUGGAGCAGAGGCCCAGGCAGGGGGCCAUCAAGGUGGAGAGGACUGAACCUGGAAAUGGAAGCUUUCCAAGUCACACAUUGAAGAGUAUCAGCAAGGUCUUAAGCCCUGGAACAGUGAGGGAUGGCAUCAGGACAAACUGAGGUCAGUGAGUGUGUUGGCAGCGGACCAGGCUCCGAACGGCACAAACUCCGUCUGGGAUGGGGAAUCUAGCAGAAGACCUAGGAAGAAUUUGAAGAGGGUUCAGAGGUGAAUUAGGGAUGCUUGUAGCUUUUGUGUGGGCAGUGCGUUACUGGGGUGUAGUCCUCAUUGAAGGCCCAAGAUUCUGCCUCUAAGGGUGUAACUCUGCUGAAUCCAGCACCUGAGAGGCUGUCCAGAGCAGGCAGGAGGUCAGCUGUCAGGCUGUGGGCCCAGUUUUAGAGUCAAAUUGAAUUUCCAGUGGGGAAGACCAAAGCUGAAGUCCAUCCCCCAGAGGAUGAGAGAAAGGAAGGCUGCAGCUCAGGCAGCUCAGGGAGUCUGAGGCAGCAAACGAGCUCUGGACCUUGAAGUGGGGAGAGGAAGUCCUUUCACCUCAUCACAGUGCUCACAUCACCUCAGAAACCAGGUGGGACACACAGCUGUGACAGGUGAGAGAUGAUUCCAUUGGUGCCUGGGAUACCAGAUUCAUGCUGGGAAGUAGGAUGGAUGUGGUGGUUUGCAAAAGGCUUUGUCUGCUAAAUUGAGGAUACUGGAUCAUACCCCAAGAGAAAGGGGAGCUCCAAUGGAAAAGCCACCUGCAUCAUGAUGCUGCCUGUCACUUGACUGAGCGUUCCUGCUGCCCAGAAGCUCCUGUUGUCCUCCCAACUGACGGGAUGCUCUUGGACAGUGAUGCCAGCUGGAAUUAAGACUGGGUUUCCAAGGCCACUGUGACCACCAUGAUUAAUCAAUCCCUACUGCUAGGGCUCCAACAUGCCUCAGCCAGAAAGCUGUCAUCUCUUUCCUGGGAACAUUCCUUAAGAAAGAACCAUCAUGGGGUUGGAUGAAACUAAACUUGCAAAGAAGGUGAUGUGUAACCAAGUUGGAGUGUGGAGUGUGGGGUCAAAGAUGAUGGCAUUCUGUGUGGAUCCGCAGUGGUAGGAAUGGAGGUGAGGAGGAAGAAAUGAAUCCAGGAGGCAGCGUGACAGAAAACACAGACUUUGGUGACGACAUGUGAGAAGCUGUAAACUGAUAAGAAGAAAAGACGUCUCCAGCACGUUUGGGUUAGUGUCAUCAACCCAUGGAUCCUGCCCACAGCAAGACUUGGCCCAGUCACAACCCCCUUUCUAGCAAUGUGGAGAUAAAUGUCUUCAACAGAAAGGGUUGGGAAUCCCAUGUGACAGCCGAGCUCUGUUCUGCCUUUGACAGAGUCUGAUGCGAAGUGGAUCAUCUCAGGGAUGUGCCUUGCUGGCUUCACCCACCUGGAGCCUCAGGGGAAGUCUCAGGUGGGAGAUGUUAAUUUGAGAGGCCUGGGUAUAAAAGUAAUCCCAAGAUGUCACAAGAUAGAAUACUUUCUCUGAGGCACAAACAGGGAGAAAAACAAGAACAGAACCCCUUAGCAGGACACUCAUAAUAAGAAGAAUUAGGAAAAGAAAAGGGAACCCGGGGUGACACAAAACUGGGGGAGUCUGUUACCACAAGGUAGAUGGCUACCUCCAGUUGGACAAAUUUCCAUGGACCACCAUGCAAUUUCUGGAGAUGCCGCCUUUGAUCCCCUCUUCUCCCUUUGCUCCUCCCUCAUCUCCACACUCAAAGUGCACAUUAUUCAGAUGUCCAGCACGCCCCUAAAUCAACUUGACUUCUCUUGUUCCUUGGCAGAUUCAAGGACCAGCCUUCAUUGGAUUUGGGGUGGAAGCUACAUGCUUGUGUCAAGGGUUGUAAUCCCAAGUCUGGUCCUGUUUUCUGCAAACAAUAUCAUUGUAAACACAUUGAAUGUGUCUGAAUGGGAUUCACAUAACCUAUUCAAAGGUUAAUAUCACAAGACUGAUACUGAGCUGGAAGCUCUGAAAUGUACUUGUGCUCAGGGAAGAUAUUUGCUAAUGUUUGGCUUUAAUUUCCCCUGGAACUUGUACACAUCAGUGAGGCCUGGGGAUAAUGAAUAACAGCAUGGACAAUAAAUUUUAAAACAAACAAAAUAAAAACUCAAAGAACAUUAAUGCAGACCAGUGCUGGGAUAUGAUGUGUGUUACAAGAGAGUAAUGAUUACUCUUGGUGAGCAGAUUCUAUUAUCUGCUUCUUAGGAGCAAUAGGUGGCUGCCUCUUGAUUGUAUUAGUCCUGGAGUUAUAAAAUCCUCAGUCCUUUACAAUGCAAAAGUGACACAUGGGGCGAGUAAGCAGGUAAGAGAAGGAGCAAUUGGAGGAAGAGAAAUGAGAUCUGUGGCAGGGGCUAUUGGCUUUCCACUAAAACCCAUUCUCUACUUCUUGCUGGGCAAGAACUAGGCAGUAUUUACCAGCCCCUCUUGCAUUUGGGGUGGCCACAAACGAAUUCUGGCCAGUGGAGUGAGGGGCUUCUCAGACAGCAGCCUGCCCCUUCCACACUCCUGUUCCCCUUGCAGUGGCUCAAAGCCCUUGGGUGAUGAUGGAGCCAUAGCUGGAAGAAGCCUGGGUCCCUGGGUCCCCCGUGGAGCCUCCACGCGGGAAGGUGGUCUAGAAAUACACUUCCAUAUUUCAGCCAGCAUGCCUUGGGAUCUUUUUUUAAUGGUGGUUCAGCCUACCCUAACUAAAGCUGGGCCCACUCAGCACGCCCCACACAGGGAUUCUGAAAUGGGAGCAGGGUCCACCAAAACUCUGCUUUUCAGAGAGCUCACACCCUAGGGGAGUAUAAAAGUGACGAGGACACUGGAGCUGGCAGGCAAGACCCAGGAUGCCAAAAUUAGGGCCCCUAAACACAGCAGGGAGGGUGAGCUAUCCUCUUGUGAGGUGGGAGGAGGGUCUCCGUGAGCAGGGCUCUUCUUGGGCCAAACCUGGAUCAUGAGGAGGAGGGAGAGAUGCUGAAUAUGACAUGUCAUUCAAAGUGCUGUCUGGAAAUUUGAGUUCGUUUCUUCAGUAGAGGCAGCACAGGUUAAUCAGACAAACCAGCCAUCAACAGGCUUCCUUUGAGGAGCUUGGUAAGAAUGGAAAACCCAGGGCUGAGGGGCUUACAGAGCUUACAGAGCAGCACAGUAUCAGGGGCCCAAGGCACCAGGAGCUCCUCUGGAAAUUGGCGGGAACAGCUGGAGCAAAGCCGAGGUGAUGGUACCCCUGGUGGCGGGACGGCAGCGACCCUCCAUGGUAUAAGGAGUGGUGAGACCCCAAGGGACAGUGUGCAAGGACUCUGAUGGCAGCAACACUCCUCUAGGAGCUGAUGAGAAAGGCCUGGAAUCCCAAGAUGCACCCCUGAGGUUCAACUCCUACCCUGAUCAUCUCCUCCAAGAUUCUGUGACCUGGGGAAGUCAACAGUACAUUUCAACACCUAUGAUGUCAGCAUGUGAAUGACAUUCCAAUGCUGCUCAUGGGGUCACCCCUGCAAAGGUGAACUCAGUGGAAAGACCUUGCCAAACCGGAAGGAAAACAGGAUACUUUUCUCCAAAAUACUCAUUCAAUAAAUAUUUGCUUAGGCAUUACAAAGACAAAUAAGACUUGCCCCUACCUGUUAGAGGUAUGUAUGUCGAGAAAAGGAAGGAGUGAUUCAAUAAGAGAAACAGCAUUCAGGGAAGAGAAAGAAGGAAGACAUAAAAAUUCAGGUCAUAUUAGAAUAAUAUAUAUAACAAUGAGUUUGGCUAUAUUUCAGAAUUUUCCCAAAAUAUUUCUUUCAAAUUUGAUUGACAUUCUAAACUAUUUAGCUUGAUAUAAAUGAGAUCUUUGUGUACCCUCAGCAGGAACUGCAUUUUAGCUGGUUUUAAAUCUCAACAAUCACUUUCCUGCCUUGGAGAAGGUAUGAACCAGGCUGUUUAUGUAGAAUCCAGGUGGGUUUGAGAGCAGCUUCAGCUGAAUGGAGAGUGACAGGGAGGCUGAGGAAGGGAGGGAGGGGACCCAUGGGCUGUCAUACCCGGGGACUUAGGAAGGCUCUUGCUCUUGCUGGAAGGGUUGCAAAUCCCUAAACCAAGUAAUCCCAUCCCUAAACCAAGUAAUCCCAUUAAAACAUGAAACAUCCAGAGUAAAAUUAAGUUUAGAAUACUAUUUGCAAAGCCAAACAUAGUCUUACCAUAGGAUCCAGGCAUCACACUCCUUGGUAUUUACCCAAAUGGGUUGGAAACUUCCAUAUAAAAAUCUGCACACAGGCCGGGUACGGUGGCUCACGCCUGUAAUCUCAGCACUUUGGGAGGCUGAGGCGGAUGGAUCACCUGAGGUCGGGAGUUCAAGACCAGCCUGACCAACAUGGAGAAACCCUAUCUCUGCUAAAAAUACAAAAUUAGCCAGGCGUGGUGGCACAUGCCUGUAAUACCAGCUACUCAAGGGGCUGAUGCAGGAGAAUUGCUUGAACCCAGGAGGCAGAGGUUGCGGUGAGCCGAGAUUGUGCCAUUGCACUCCAGCCUGGGCAACAAGAGUGAAACUCUGUCUCAUAAAAUAAAUAAAUAAAUAAAUAUAAACCUACACACAGGCCAGGCAGGGUGGCUCACCCUGUAAUCUCAGCACUUUGGGAGGCCGAGGCGGGUGGGGUGGAUCACGAGGUCAGGAGAUCAAGACCAACUUGGCCAAGACGGUGAAACCUCAUCUCUACUAAUAAUACAAAAAUUAGCUGGGCAUGGUGGCACAUGCCUGUAAUCCCAGCUACUCAGGAGGCUGAGACAGGAGAACCGCUUGAACCAGGGAGUCGGAAGUUGUGGUGAGCCGAGAUCACACCACUGCACUCCAGCCUGGUGACAGAGUGAGACUCUGUCUAAAAAAAAAACCUGCACACAAAUAUUCAUGGUAGCUUUAUUCAUACUUGCCAAAACCUGGAAGCAACCAAGAUGUCCUUCAAUAGGUGAAUGGGUAAAUAAACUGUGGUACAUCCAGACAAUGCAAUAUUAUUUGGUGAUUAAAAAAAAAGAAAUGAGUUAAAAUCUUGGAUUUCUUUUUUUUAAAUGAGUUAUAAAGCCACAGAAAGACCUUAAAUACAUAUUGUUAAGUGAAAGAAGCCAGCCUGCAAAGCUACAUCUAUACAUGACUGUAUGACAUUCUAGAAAAGGCAAAACUAUAGAGACAGUGAAAACAUCAGGGAUUGCCAGGGGUUAAGAGGGAAGGAAGGAUGAAAAGGCAGAGGACAGAGGAUUUUAAGGCCGGUGAAACAAUUCUAUAUCAUACCAGAAUGGUGGAUAUAUGGGCUGGGGCUCAGAAAACAAUACCCCCAAAUGAAUGCCUCAGAAGCAAAAGUUUCUCCUGCCCUCCCAUCCCUGACCUCAUUCUCCCCCAAGGUUAGCCAUAGAAACCAGAAGUCCUCUUUCCCAAGGUGGGUCAUAGAAACUUCCAAACCCCUUUUCCCCAAAGCCAGUCAUAAAACCUAAAAAUAUGACUCUAACUUCCACCCCCACCCCACCACCUUUCUGUGUAAAAAUGUGUCAUAAGGAAAUCAUCUAACCUGCCUUGUUUGGUUGUCGGUCGUAAGACCCCCAUUCGAGAGAGGGCCCUGCCCCGUACCCAGCAGGAAGCAAUGCUGCCCAGAGAGGCCACGAGGAAUCUAGACAGGGCUUGCUGGGGGGCCCCACUCACUCUAUGAGCAUUAGCUCAUUCCCUUUUUUGUCCAAUCACAUUUCUAAAUAUUUUGUUGCACCUAAGCUUAAAAGUGGGCAGAGUCCCCUGCAUCUCUGGGUCUUCGUUCUGAAGGCUCCCCUGUCAUGUAACACUAUGACCAAAUAGAUGUGUGUGCCUUUUCUCCUAUUCAUCUGCCUUUUGUCUGUUAAUUUUCAGUGAAACUUCAGAGGGUGAAGGGGAAGUUUUCCUUGGCCCCUACACGUGUCAUUACAAACCCAUAGAAUGUACAAUGCCAAGAGUGGACCUUAGUGCAAGCCAGGGACAUUAGUCAGUAAUAAUGUUCCACGCUGACGCACAAAUGAAAGUUAUUUUAUUUGUGUGAACAGGAGAGCUGACAUGGUCUGUAUUGAUAUCUCCUGGGCAGGGAGGUGGUGAGCACGGCCCCAGAAUUCUGAACUGCCAGGAGCCAGGCAGCUUUGCAUCCUGGAGCUUGGCCAAUUCAGCCGCCCAAGUUCUGGCCAUGGGUCUGCAGCCCCCUGGCCCUUGCCUGCAUAAGCAGGAGAUGAAUGAGAGGAAGCAGAACUCACACAGGAGGCAGGAGGAAGCCACCAGGAAGCUCACUGGCUCCAGGGGCAGCAGAUCUGGGAUGGGGUCCCAGUUCUCUCCUUCCUCAUUCAUGAAAUGGGGCAAUAACAGUACUUACUUCAUUGGAGGUUCUUGGAGGGAAUAAAAGAGAUAUUAGUUAAAGGCAUGGAGCACAGUCCCUGGCACACUGAAAAAGUUUCAUAAAUGUUACCAAUUAAUUGUUUGUAUUAUAUAAUGUCUUCCUGAUAGGUUUUUGGGAAGGAAUAAAUCAAAGGUGAGAAAAUAUAUACAAAAACCUGACUGAGCGAGAACAUAGCUUACACACAAGAAGUGGCAGCUUGGUGAGCACACUGCUAUGUCAUGUUGUGCCUAGUCAUGACAUAGCCAAGGACUGAUACAGGCGCUCCCAUAACCCAUGGAUGGAUUCCUGCUGGACUCUAUUCAUGAAGGUUCUGAUUCUAAUUUUUUUAAAUCCAUGGAUAAAACAGCUACCAGAAAAUCCCAUUUGGGUUUGCAUGUUGUUCUUUGGCUUCGGUGGACAGCAAUCAUAUCAGUUGCAUUUCCCGAGCUAGAGCUCUGAGGCUUAGUCAUCCCCCUCCCUGGCUGGCUUCCAUGCUGUCUGCAGUGGGAGCAUCUUUUAUGAGAUGACAGGAGGGGACUUCAUGGAUGUGCAGCCUGGGCUGCUGGUACUGCCGGGGCUGCUGGUACUGCUGGGACUGCAGGAGAGGGAUGGUUUCUAUUAAUCCUCACAAUGGGAGGGUCCAGUGGGCUGUCACAGCACAGGCAGGGAAUCACAGGCCUCCCUGGGUGACCAGCUGUCCUGGCUGCUACCAGAUUCGGACUCCAGCAGGCUUUCCCUGGGGGCAGAGAUGACCUUGAUCUCUGGGCAGCUAGGCUUCAUGUCCUUGAUAUUUGUGGCCCUGCAUUGUUGGGGCACAGGAUGCAGAGCUGGGGAUGACUGAGCUUAAACUCCUGCUGCUAUGGAGGGCUGCCUCCUUGCCCUGAAUGCCCUGGGAGCCCUUUUAAAAACACAGGUCCAAGGAGUGAUAACAUGAGGGGCAGCACCUCUGGCCCCUGAGAGAGAAACUUGUCCAGUGAUAUGUGCACAAGCAACAUCUCCAGGCAUUCCUUCCAGACAAGGCAAGAGGCCCCCCAGGUGUGAUAUGUUAGCUACACAUGGGCUUGGUCUGUACUGCAAAUGUGUACUCAGUGAUGGGGCCAUUAGAUAUUUGGUUUCUACAUUGCUGCGAUGAAAAUUUACAAAGAACGUUCAUGGGGAAACCAGCUCCCAUCCAUGGGCAGCAGAGGAAUGUUGUCCAAGACUUACAUGGACAGGUAAGACUAAGGUCUCAUCCCAUACUCAGCAGUUCUGUGACCUUUUACAGAACAUAGGGAGGCAAGAAGGGAAAUGAGCCUUAGUUAGCCUCAGGGAGAACCAAGCCAGGUCUGUUUAGGGUCACCACCUUCACUGAACUGCCCUCCACUGGAGGCUAGGAACUGCAGGACAUGAGUUCAACAUCAAAAUAGUAAAAAUAGUGGCAAAUGUUUAGCAGUGUUUGCAACAUAUCAGGUGUCACAGCAACCUCUGCAGGAGAGGUGAGCAGGGCUAAUAUUUAGCAGGUGCACCCUUGUACUGGCUGCCUGCCAUUUAAUAGGUUAGUGCCUCAGCUGGUUAUUGAAUAUUUUCAACAUCGGCCCUGGGUACUAAGAUUAGUUCCCAUUUUACUGAUUAGGAAAUCGAGGUUAAGAGAGGGUAGGCGAUUUGCCUGAGAUCACACAGCCUCGUGUGUGGCAGAGCCUUAGAUUCCAAGCCAGGCUGUCCGAUGCCAGACCUUCACAGCUAUCCUAUGCUUCCACGGCACCCCGGACUUCCCCUUGGAGCACUUGCCAGUGAAACAAACAUGCCCUGGAGAAAUGCCUGGGUGAGUGUGCCUUCUUCCUUGCACAGAGACGGGCCUCUUGCACCCUCUACUUUCCUACUGUGGCUGGGGUGAGGUGGCGGGUAGAAGGGCGUGGGUUGUAGCUCACUGUCUUCUUCAGGAGUCCCACAGUGGGUAGGAGCACCAGCUGUUCAACAAGAGAAGACCAUUAGGCUUCAGGAGGGAGAGGAAGUUUUUUUGGGAAUGAGAGGACCAAGAGAAAUGAGGCACAGGGGAGAUCGGCCCCAAGGCUUGUCCUGAAAAAAGAACAUCAUCUUCUUCUAAGGUCCCGAGCGUGGGAUUUAUCUGACACAUUCUUCCACAUGCUUAUUGCAGGAGGAGCGUUGUGUUAAGUGCUUUGCAUGCAUUAAUUAUCUCAUUUAAACCAAAACCAACCCAGUGUGGCUGAGUGACUAUAUGAUGUCCAUUUUACAGAUGAGGAAAGGGAGGCUGAGAGAGCUUAAAGGACACACCACUUUUGAGUGGCAGAGCUAGGAUGCAAACCAGACCUGACUGCUGUUAAAGCUUGUGAUGUUUGUAGUCAUUCUUCUAUACUGUACCCUCAUAGGAAGUUCAAAAACAGAGAGGGUGGGAUUUGGUCUUUGGCUUUUGUUUAAAUGUAUGUUUUUAUAGAUAUAUUUCCUUAGCCCAUGCUAUGAACCAGGAGUUUCCAUUUGUUUAUUUAACUGAUUUAUUAAGCCUUUUUAGGGGCCAGCCCAGGUUCUGGGCACAAGCUGGAGAAGGAGAGCUGCUGCGGUCCCUAACUCAUGCCUCUUGCGGCAGUGGGUGGGUGUGAAGAGGGAGGAGGGGAGGAGGUGGUGAGAAGUCUGCUUCACAUUAUUCAGAGUUUCCUGUGAGCCAGGCACUGUGCCUGGGGCUAAGUGAUUAUAUCAUUUAGCCCUCCCAAUAGACUCUCAGGUAGACGCUCUCUUAUUUCCACUUUUUCCCAUUUACAGAUGGGGAAAUGAAGACUUAAGAAACUUAGGUAAUCUGCCCAAAGGCUUAUAGCCAAUACAUGGUAAAGCUGAGAUGUGAACUCAAGUAUCUGACUCCAAAGCCUGGGUUUUUUCUCUUUCUCUCUCUCUUUUUUUUUUUUUUUUGAGACAGGGUCUCACUCCUUCACCCAGUCUGGAGUGCAGUGACAUGGUCAUAACUCACUGUAACCUCAAACUCCUGGGCUCAAGUGAUCCUCCUUUCUCAGCCUCCUGAGUAGCUGGGACUACAGGCACACACUUUUAUGCCUGGAUAAUUUUUGUACUUUUUUUGUAGACAGGGUCUUACUGUGUUGCCCAGGCUGGUCUGGAACUCCUAGGCUAAAAUGAUCCUCCUGCCUCAGCCUCCCAAAUUGCUGGGAUUACAGGUGUGAGCCACUGUGCCCGGUCAAAGCCUGUGCUUUGAUUUGCCACCUAAUCCUCCUCCGUUUUAUAUGUAAUGUUAACCCCAAACCUGCAGGGUAGCCGUUAUCAGCCUCAUUUAACUGACAGGGAAGCCCAGUCUCAGAGGGGCCAGAUGCGUGCCCAAGGCCUUGCUGGGAAGAAUGGGAUUCUGGGCCCAGGCAUUCCAGCGCCAAGUCCAGGGCGUGAUUGUUACUCUGCAGUCCCUCUCUGUGACAAGAGCCUCACCGGGAACUCGGGGGUGGGGGCUCCCCCAAGCCUCCUGGCUGGACCCCAUUCCAAGCGUUAGUGUAACAGAUGUUGUGUGGCGGGAGUCUGUUGUGCUCCUGGUGUGUGGCUGGGAUUCAGAGGUGUCUUCAAGCGCUCUAGGAAGCCGGCGGGCGGGGCCAUGGCCGCAGAAGUGAGUGCAGGGAUGGAGAAUACAGGGAGUCCCUUGACCGGAGGAGACUUUGGAGGCAUUUGUGCUGUUCGCGUGAACUCCGCGUCCAUGGCCUACCCUGUGAUUGUCAUCAUUUCUAUGUGAGAAAAAAGCGGCUACUGAUUCACAGCGAAAGGAAACGGACUAGGUUCUGAAACUUCCUGUUUGUCUGGUAUCUGCAAAGAUAUGUGUGUUAUGCAAAUACCCUGACUCCCCAGAACUGCAGGUGUGUACAAACACACACACGCACGCACACACACACACACACACACACACACACACACACCCUCUGCUUGGCCCCAUGCAGUGGGUCUCCUCUGUACCCAGUAAACUGAAACAUGACUCUACUAACAUGGUAGCCAGGACACUGGGGACUCUGCUGUCGGAAUCCCUGAUCAUAGAGACAGCAGCUUUGGCCUUCGGCUCAAAGAGCUUCACAGAUGUCCCUUGUAGGCGAGUCCUGGCUCUGGCUCCUGGCCCACUGCAGAGCCUGGGAGUGAGGCAGGCAGAUAGGCGAGGGGGUCUCACCCAGGCCCAGGAACUCCAUUUUCUCUCAGCCCCAUUCCUCCCUCCCUCGGCUCCCUGACCGUGCUGAACGCAGCUCCCAAGCAGGGGGAGAGUCCAGAUAAUGGCAGAUGUUGAUUGUUUCCUGUUGGUUCACUGUGUCCUUUUGGCAGGCCUUUCUUUCUUUCAAAAUAUAUUCAGGUUUGAGCCUAGCACUGCAGCUUGCUGAGUGGGUCUAUGCUUCCAUAGAGCAGUGGCUUCGGGCACAGGCCUGAGACCCAGCCUGCCUGCGGGCUGCUAGCUGCCAGCUACCUCUGCACUAGGAAGGUUUUUAAACAGCUGAAUGCAAGCUUCAGCGUUAAUAGGUGAAAGUGAAAAUGACAUGUGACUUCUAGACAAUUCUCAUAGAUUCAAAAUAAUUGUUCUCUGUAAUGAGUAAAAUAACACUCUUGCAACAGCUGAAUGCUUUUCUCAUAUUCUGAGUUGCCCGAAUUAGGGGAAAUGGGUCUAAAUGGCUGCAAGAGGCAGUUUUGUCAGCUAGACGUCUUUUUACAAGUAUAUUGCAUCCUUCAGUCUCUUCCUGCCCCACCCUAAGACCCUCACCUGGGAAAUGGGAGGAUGGCUUGGAAGGCAAUUGUCAGGCCUCUGAGCCCAAGCUAAGCCAUCAUAUCCCCUGUGACCUGUACAUACACAUCCAGAUGGCCCGGUUCCUGCCUUAACUGAUGACAUUCCACCACAAAAGAAGUGAAAAUGGCCUGUUCCUGCCUUAACUGAUGACAUUACCUUGUGAAAUUCCUUCUCCUGGCUCAUCCUGGCUCAAAAGCUCCCCCGCUGAGCACCUUGUGACCCCCACCCCUGCCCGCCAGAAAACAACCCCUUUGACUGUAAUUUUCCUUUACCUACCCAAAUCCUAUAAAACAGCCCCACCCCUAUCUCCCUUCGCUGACUCUCUUUUCGGACUCAGCCCGCCUGCACCCAAGUGAAAUAAACAGCCUUGUUGCUCACACAAAGCCUGUUUGGUGGUCUCUUCACACGGACGUGCGUGAAAGCGAUGAAGCUGAGGUUGCAGGAAAGGAGUGAUCACCUGGCUCAGAGCUGGGCCCUAAAAGUCUAGGCCAGAGCCUCCCUGUUGUGAAAGGGAGUGGAAGGAGAAGGGGCUGGGAUGGGUCAAACUGGGUGGAAAGCUAGGCUCUGCUGUUUAGAAGCUGUAUGAUCUUGAGCAAGUUGCUUAACCCUUGCUAAGCCUCAGUUUCCCUUCCUGCAGAAAGGGAUUAUCAUGGGGACGAAAGGGGAUCCAGAACCUGGAGUGGAGGAUAGGGUGGGUAAGUGGAAGGUGUCAUGAGGACAACAUAUGCUGAGACACUCACCACCCUUUCUGAGGGCGCCUCAGCAGCAGGUCACAUGGUGCCUGAAACUCGUUUUUCUGAGUUGUGCUGGUUUGUGGAAUGAAAAGGGAAGCCAGGCUUCCUUCUUACUAGCUCUGACUGCCUUGUUUUAAGGAUCAUUCACCUUCCCUAAGGAUGGGAUAAAGCCUUCCUGUAGAGCAGACCGAUCUCCUUCUUUAUCCCUACAGUUCUCCCACCGUGGCCAUGGCCUUGGGGGCUGUUCUGACUCUUACAUUUAUAUAUCACUCCUACUUUCCCAGCCAGCAGGAUAGAAAACCUGAGAAGGGAAUUCUGCCUUAUAAACAUUUCUUACAGAUGGGGCAGACAGGUUGUUUCUUUUUUACCAAGGAAGCUCAGGGCAAUUCUGGUUGCAGGAAUGUUAAGCACUGAUAAAGAAGAGAAGAAAAAAUAUUCACCCUCCAGGGCCUGGAAUUUCCCCAUUCCUGAGCCCUGGCUUCCCUGUCUGAGAUAGAGACUGUCAGUCAGUCACCUACCAAUUCCCAAUUUCUCUUUCUGCUUUACUAAAAGUACUUGAUUUGGGAUGGGGGUGGGGGGUGGCAGGCAGCAAUACAUCCAAGUAAAAGACUGUACUUCCCAAAUCUCUUGAAACUAGGGACAGCCAAUGAGGUAUAAAUGAAAAUUAUUGGGGCUGGGGUCCCAAAAGCUUCUCUCUCUUUUUUGAGACAGAGUCUCAGUUUGUCAUCUAGGCUGGAGUGCAGCAGCAGGAUCACAGCUGUAAAAUCAAAAGUGUCAAAGACAGGUCUCAAUCAAUUUAGAAAGUUCAUUUUGCCAAAGUUAAGAGCACACCUUUAACCUCAGGUGAUCCUGACAGCAUGUACCCAAGGUGGUUGGUGCCCAACUUGGUUUUAUACAUUUUAGGGAGCAUAAGGCAUCAAUCAAUAUGUGUAAGAUGUACAUUGGUUUGGUCUGGAAAGGUGGGACAACUGAAAGGUGGGACUUCCAAGUCAUAGGUGGAUUCAAAGAUUUUCUGAUUGGCAAUUGGUUGAAAGAGUUAUUAUCGAUAGAAAAGAAUGUCUGGGUUAUGAUGAGGGGUUUUGAAGGGAGGAGGGUAGAAUGAGGCAUGUCUGACUCCCCCUUCCCAUCAUGGCCUGAACUAGUUUUUCAGGUUAACUUUGGAAUGCCCUUGGCUAAGAGGAAGGGUCCAUUCAGAUGGUUGGCGGGGGGGCCUUAGAAUUUUAUUGUUGGUUUACGUGGCUCAGUGCAGCCUUCACCUCCUGGGCUCAAGUGAUCCUUCCAUCUCAGCCUCUUGAGUAGCUGUGGCCACAGGUGCAUGCCACCAUGCCUGGCUAACUUUUUUUUUUGGUAGAUAUGGGGUCUUGCCAUGUUGCCCAGGCUGGUUUUGAAUUCCUAAGCUCAAGUUAUCCUCCUGUUACAGGAAAGGGGUCCUGAUCCAGAUCCCAAGAGAGAGUUCUUGGAUCUCACACAAGAAAGAAUUCGAGGUGAAUCCAUAGAGUAAAGUGAAAGCAAGUUUAUUAGGAAAGUAAAGAAAUAAAAGAAUGGCUACUCCAUAGGCACAGCAGCUUCCAGGGCUGCUGGCUGCCCAUUUUUAUGGUUAUUUCUUGAUUAUAUGCUAAUUAUUUAGUGUUUGCAAAAAUAGCCAGGCUAUAAGGGGUGGAUUAUUCAUGAGUUUUGUGGAAAAGGGGUGGGCAAUUCCCAGAGCUGAGGGUUCCUCCCAUUUUUAGACCAUAUAGGGUAACUGCCAGAUCUUACCAUGGCAUCUGUAAACUGCCAUGGUGCUGAUGAGAGUGUCUUUUAGCAUGCUAAGGCAUUAUAAUUAGCAUAUAAUGAGCAGUGAGGACAAUCAGAGAUCACUCUUAUCACUAUCUUGCUUUUGGGGGGUUUUAACCAGCUUCUUUACAGCAGCCUGUUUUAUCAGCAAGGUCUUUGUGACCUGUUUCUUGUGCUGACCUCCUAUGUCAUCCUGUGACUUAGAAUGCCUACCCUUCUAGGAAUGCAGCCUAGUAGUUCUCAGUCUUAUUUUACCCAGCCCCUACUCAAGAUGGAGUCCCUCUGGUUCAAAUGCCUCUGACACUCCCACCUCAGCCUCCCAUAGUGCUGGAAUUACAGGCUUGAGCCACUGCACCUGGCCUUAAAAGCUUCUUAAAGGGAUCUAAGAAAUUGACUCUCCCCACCCUCUUUCUUAACCGUAAAACACUAAUGUAAUGGCUGGAGUUCUAGCAACCAUAUUGGGCCAUGAGGCAACCUUGAAAAAGGAAGCCACAAACUAAAACAUUGACUCUCAACCUUUAAUGCUGAAAAAAGAAAAAGUAUCCCCUGACAUCCGGGAAAUGGCCUGACACUUUGAGCUAGGGCUUAAUCUUAUUAAAAGCUUGCCUGGCUAUUUUUGCAAACACUGAUGUCAGUCGCCAGUCUGCAACUGUGAUGAAGAGGUCAAAAGAGACCCCUUCCUAACUCUGUCUAAGCACAAACAACUCCACAAAACACUAGACACACCCCCUUCUGGCUCAUUAAGUGACAGGGGCCUCCUUAUCAACUAUAACUAUAGCCUUGAUCUUGUCUUCUGUCCUUAUAGAUAAGAUUUACUAACAUACCCAGCUGCAGAAUUGUCCCAUUUCCAGACAGCAGACAAUGCAGAGCAAGCCCUUCCCUCCUAGACCCUCCCCAAAUUCACCUAACCAAAGCCCAAAGCCUAAAAGUCCCUUUGAACACCUUUUUAGUGAAAUGGUGCCCCCAUGAUAUCUUCCUCAUUGCAACCAGUAAUAAAGCCAACUUGUUCAAAUGCCGGUUUGCAAAUAAAUCACUUGGGGAUUUGUUAAAAUGCAGACUGUGGUUCAGUAGGUCUGAAGUAGAGCUUAUUCUGUGUUUGCCACAAGCACCCAGUGAGGCACUUGCUGCUGGACCAUGGUCCCACUUUGGGUAGCAAGGCAGUUAAGGGUGGCAGAUUAGAACACUGGACAUGCUUAACCUUGACCAUGGGACCACUGUAUGCAUCCUGUUGUUUCUCAGUGAAAAUAUGCCUGUAUUUCAUGUAAGCCCCCGCUAUAUAUGUUGGCUACUAGCAACUUAACCAACACGUUGUCCUUGUCCUUAGAAAAUGUGUGGUUACAGCCAGGUGUGAGCAGGCCUAGACCAGGCUUGGGGAUUUAUUGACCAAAUGUGGUGCCUUUGAGGUGAAACCACAAGUAAUCAGAGAAGCUGAGUCACUCCACUUAGUGGACUGGUGGAAAAUUCUCAAAUGGUCUUAAGCUGGCCCCAUGUUGGGCUGAGGACUAGAGAUCUCAGAGGCUCCACCUGCCCAUCCAAUUGCAGGUGUCUGGGCCUGGCCCCACCUUGCCUUCCUGCUCCAUUGCUCACCAUUCCACACCCAAAGGCACCAUGAUGUUUUGUACCUCCUUGCCUUUGCUCUUCCCUUUGCCAGGGAUGCCCUUCCCACCUUCCUCCACGUGGCUAACCCUCCCUCAGCUCUGCUUCCAGGGUGUCUCCCCUGGUCGCCAAGGGCUGGCUAGUGCCUCUUCUUUGCUCCCAGGGCACCCUGUGCCUUUCUGUGCCCCAACUAUUUCCCAGUUUGUAGCAGUUAUUUAUUUUGUGGUCAUCUUCCCACUGGUCGUCAGCUCCUAGAGGGCAGGGAUCAUGUUUUGGGUUAUUCAUCACUGCAUCCCCUGACAUAGUCCCCAAACCUCGAGAACUAUGAAACUGCACCAAAGGUUCCAGCUCCCCCACAGCCUGCCCUUAACCUUGAGCCAUUUGAAGGGAGAGUAUGAGACAAUAGUGAAAGAAACCCUUCUCUAAUGUUUUCCCCAUUUAGGUUAUGUGAAGUUGGCAGUUCCCAAGGGCUUUAGGCUUGAAGCUGUGGGUCAUACCCCUUCGGAAACUUGGUCCCCAAGAGAAAUGUAUGCUUCUGAAAACCACAGGUGCAUGAAUCGUGUUUAGUAAAUGACUACUAAACUGAAAUCAGGACUUGUCUAUAUCUUGGCUUCUCAAACUUGAAUAUGCUUAUCAUCUGGAUAGCAAAAGCAUUCCUACACGUUGAGGCCUGCCAGCGUGGGUGUCACCCAGGAGCCACUCGGAAAGGCUCAUCGGAAACCACCCCGGACUGACUGAGGCAGAAUCUCUGGGGGCAGGACCCAGGCCUCAGCAUAAAAACUCCAGGUGACGGAAGAGCUCCCACCUAACAGGUGUGUUGGCAUUGUUGUAGGUGACUGACGUAGUUUCCCAUCUCACAACUCUACCUCCAUGAAGAAAAGUCAUGGAAAAUUGAGACUUUGGGCUGAGUGUGGCUCAUCCCUGUAAUCUUAGUGCUUUGGGAGGCUGAGGUAGGAGGAUCGCUUGAGGCCAGGAAUUUGAGGCCAGCCUGAGCAACAUAGUGUCUCUUCAAAAAACUAAGUUUAUUCUUUCCUCUUUUUUAGUUUUUAUUUUACACGGCUCACUGUGGCUUUGACCUCCCAUGCUGAAGCGAUCCUCCUAUCUCAACCUCUCAAGUAGCUGGAAGCACAGGCAUGCACCACCACACCUGGCUAAUUUUUUUCUUCCUUUUUUAAAGAGACAGUCUUGCCAUGUUGCCCAGGCCCUGUUGACCAGGAAAAAAAAAAGUUUUUUUUCUUUUUUAAAGAAAGAAAAUAAAAGAGACUGAGAAACCACAGAAAUAAAGAAGCGCUGAUGACAAUGCCUGCUUGCUGAUGGUUACGAUGAUCAUAGCAGUGUGCAUUUUGUAUGCAUGAAGCCUGCGACUAAAUAAACGUGUGGGGAAAUAUUUGUAAGGAAAUAAGCUAUUAAUAAAAUAAGCUAAAAUCACAGUUGCUGGACUAUGACUGAUUUUUCCCCUUUCUCUCAUUUAAAAUUAAAUAUUUGUAUGACUUGUAUAAUAGAAAAAUACAUGUAUUCAAUCUUAAAAAGAUAUUCUUAUUUUACACUUUACGGGACAAAAGAGGUUGUAGGUUGGAAUGGUUCAGUCCCCUUGUGACAACUCAAAAACAGAGACCUUAAGCCUUUCUCAACCAAUGUUGCGGGACAAGCAGGCGUGUGAGGCGACAAUGCCAUUAGGGUAUUUUUUGGAAAAAUUUUAGUGUGAGAGACAAAAGCCAAAUUCAAACUGGCCUGAGCCAAAAUAGGUAGGAAAGGGAGAAGCGGAGACAGGGAGGAAGAAAGAGAGAGAACAGAAAGAAAAAGGGAGAAAUGUCGAAAGGCAAAAUUACAACACAUUUAGUUAAAUGAUUGAAUUGGUUUUUAUUUGUAAUUCAUGAAUUGGGGCAGCAUCUCCUCUAAAACUUUAGGAAAAGUGCUCUGAUGAGCUAAACAGAGAAGCUUGGCUUUAUAGGCAGAAAAGGGUGAAGAAAGCAGACACAGGGAACAAAAAGCAGAUUGGUAAGCUCAGGUUACUUCAGGUUACUUUCCUUAUAAAGGUUAAAGUAGAGGGGACUUCCUUAUCAUGCUGGCUACAACUGGCCUGUUUGGGGAUUUGCAUAUUAUCUCUCUCUGUCUUGAGUUCUGGGAAGGUCUGAUGACUUAGUUUCAGUUUGGUGAUAUGGAACUUAGCAUGAGUGACUCCAUCUUGGUUUGGUCUACUGGGGCCUCCUGCAGGAGCUCAGCCCAAAUCAGUGACCUCCUAUAAAUUUCAUUUAAUAGAAAAGGAAGGAAGGAAGGAAGGAAGGAAGGAAGGAAGGAAGGAAGGAAGGAAGGGAGGGAGGGAGGGAGGGAGGGAGGGAGGAAGGGAGGAAAGAAGGAAGGAAAGAAAGAAAGUUGCUUAUAAGUUGCUUAUAACUAAAAAGACCAGCUGGACCCAGGAGCUCUGAGGUUGCUUUCAGGCCUCUGUCCAUCUCUUAGUUUUCCAUCCUCAGACAGGCUCUGCCCUGCCUUACAGUCUAGCAUUGUUGGCCAAAGGUGACUGACUGGCCCAGCUUGGGCUAUAUGUCCUUCCCUGUGGCCAGAGAGAUGUGUCUCUGUGAUGGCCAGGCUUGGGUCACGUACUCCCUCCCCUACCAGAAUCACAUGAAAAGAGGGAGGAAGAGCCGCUUUCCACCAAAGGAAACUGAAGUGCUAUUGUCAGAGGGGUUGCUGGGCAGACCAAAAAGAUGACAAUAUCUGCUCCAAUCGCUCGGGUUGUUGGUGCUUGGCAGAUUUGCCCCUACGUCACUUUUCAGAUGUGGAUAAGACUGAAGGUGACCACAGGCUUCCGAGAGGAAAGCUGCCAAUGGGGGUGUGAGAGGAGGGGGAAUUCUUACUCACCAAGGUUAACACUGUGCACACUGUUCUCCGAGGAAGUGGGAAUUUCCACAUGGUGAGUUCCCUUCCCUGUACAAUGAAUUACUAUCUUGAUGAGAAACCCGUGGGCAGCUGGUUGAGAAGAGAAAGGUAUUCUCUGAAUGAGAGGGAAUUUACCACCUUCCUUUCAAUGGUGACAGUUUUUUCUGGUGUCACCGCAGGGUGUGGAUUGAUUCAUAUACAAAUAUACAUAUCUACAUAGAUGCCAUUCUGCUAGCCUCUGCAAAAUGCAUGCCUGGAGACCAUUUCUGCUGCCUAGGAGAUGUCAACUUUGUCACCACCACUCUCUCUCCACCACUCCCACACCCUGCAGGGGCCAGGUGUGUGGGUGGGGAGCUCCCCAGCUGGAGGCCAGAUUAGAGGUCUCUGUGUGGUGGGGAUGGGGAGGAUGGGGUGGGAAUGAGGUGGUAGGCCACUGGCAGUGGUCCAAGUUCCAUCCAGGAUCUGUCCUAGGCCUCUCCCCAGGCUGUCGCUUCCACCAUUGAAUUUCUAACCUGGAUCUCUAAGGUUAUGAAUAUCUCAUUCCCGCAUCCUGGGGUGCUCAGACAUGUCUCCCCUGAGUCUCUAGCUGGGCUCGUGGCUGUGAUCAUUGUCCUCAGAGUUCCAUCCUCCCAACAAAGGGACAGAAGAAACACAGGGCCCACUUUUCUGGAUUCUGAGUUGGAGCCAAGAAAUUCUAUCUGCUGCUUCCUUCCUGUUGAAUUAUCCCCCAAGGACCCCUUAGUCCCUCCAGUCUCCUCCAGAGGCCUAUAGCUGCCCCAGCUCCCCAUGAUGGAUACCUGGCUCUUUCCUACCCAGAGGAAAACGCAGGCCCUUCCCCAGCCCUGCACUGAACUCCUGUGAGUGGCUGAGGAGAUGAGGAGGUGUGAAGAGUGAGUGUGUUGGGGAGGGAGGGGUCCCCUGCCACCAGGUACCAAGGACUUCUGCCAGAUCACCAGAACUGACACCUGGUUCCACCGGCCAGCUGUGAAGUGUCGGCCCUGACAUCAACAGCUGACCUCCCACAGGGCCUAAGGAAACGGAAUUGUGG